AACGCAACUUGCACCCUAUUUCGGUAGAGUAUGCCUGUUUGAGAAUCUAUAGUAAAUCUUGCCCCCUCUAUAUGAAUAUAUUUAUAUAUAUUUGUGCAGAGAGUGGUAGACUUGGGGUUUCUUUACUCUUAUUUUUAAUAAUAAUGAGAAAGGAUUCCUUUAAAGAGGUAGCUGACUCUGGCAGCGUCUACUGUUUGAAUAGACCUAGUCUUUAAUAACAAGUGGGCAAAGCCGUAUAGACUCGGUCCAUAACUAUAAAGUCAUUAGUGAUAUAAUUAAUGACUUGAACAAUGGUCUCAAAUCAGGUAGGAGGACCCGCUGAACUUAA
RNAcentral lists this unclassified non-coding RNA (328 nucleotides) under uncultured fungus. Its description in RNAcentral is "partial contains 5.8S ribosomal RNA, internal transcribed spacer 2, and large subunit ribosomal RNA". The record is from RNAcentral. Lineage: Eukaryota; Fungi.